RNAcentral lists this ribosomal RNA (504 nucleotides) under uncultured bacterium. RNAcentral's name for it is "bacterial SSU rRNA". It matches the Rfam family "Bacterial small subunit ribosomal RNA", at positions 15 to 507 of the family's 1533-position model. The record is from RNAcentral.
GAUCAUGGCUCAGGAUGAACGCUAGCUACAGGCUUAACACAUGCAAGUCGAGGGGAAACGACAUCGAAAGCUUGCUUUGAUGGGCGUCGACCGGCGCACGGGUGAGUAACGCGUAUCCAACCUGCCCAUGUCCACGGGAUAGCCCGUCGAAAGGCGGAUUAAUACCGUAUGAGGUCACACGAUGGCAUCAGGCUGUGACGAAAGGUUUAGCGGACAUGGAUGGGGAUGCGUCCGAUUAGCUAGUUGGCGGGGUAACGGCCCACCAAGGCGACGAUCGGUAGGGGUUCUGAGAGGAAGGUCCCCCACAUUGGAACUGAGACACGGUCCAAACUCCUACGGGAGGCAGCAGUGAGGAAUAUUGGUCAAUGGGCGAGAGCCUGAACCAGCCAAGUAGCGUGCAGGACGACGGCCCUAUGGGUUGUAAACUGCUUUUAUAAGGGAAUAAAGUGGGUCACGUGUGACUUUUUGCAUGUACCUUAUGAAUAAGGACCGGCUAAUUCCGUG